This 82-nucleotide transfer RNA is filed under the name Verrucomicrobiota bacterium. Its description in RNAcentral is "tRNA-Leu". The record is from RNAcentral. Lineage: Bacteria; Pseudomonadati; Verrucomicrobiota.
GCCUAAUGAAUCGGUAGACGUGCAUGAUUCAGGUUCAUGUCCCAGCAAUGGGGUGCAAGUUCAACUCUUGCCGCGGGCACCA